Molecule: transfer RNA, 74 nt
Filed under: Python regius (ball python)
Lineage: Eukaryota; Metazoa; Chordata; Lepidosauria; Squamata; Pythonidae
Description: tRNA-Asn
Source: RNAcentral
UAGAUUGAAGUCCGUUUGGUUUGGACGGCUAGUUGUUAAUUAGUGUUUUGUGGGAUCGAGGCCCGCCAGUCUAG